RNAcentral lists this non-coding RNA (100 nucleotides) under Lysinibacillus macroides. RNAcentral's name for it is "TPP sequence". It matches the Rfam family "TPP riboswitch aptamer (THI element)". Rfam says of the family: Vitamin B(1) in its active form thiamin pyrophosphate (TPP) is an essential coenzyme that is synthesised by coupling of pyrimidine and thiazole moieties in bacteria. The previously detected thiamin-regulatory element, thi box was extended, resulting in a new, highly conserved RNA secondary structure, the THI element, which is widely distributed in eubacteria and also occurs in some archaea. The record is from RNAcentral. Lineage: Bacteria; Bacillati; Bacillota; Bacilli; Caryophanales; Bacillaceae.
ACAAGAUUGCAGGGGGACUCAUUACGAGUUGAGAAGGUUAAAACCUGACCCUUUGAACCUGUUAGUUAAUACUGGCGUAGGGAGCAAUAUCCAUCUAUUU